AUACGGAGGGGGCUAGCGUUGUUCGGAAUUACUGGGCGUAAAGGGCGCGUAGGCGGAUUGUCAAGUCAGAGGUGAAAGCCCUGGGCUCAACCCGGGAACUGCCUUUGAAACUAACAGUCUUGAGUCCGAGAGAGGAUGGCGGAAUUCCCAGUGUAGAGGUGAAAUUCGUAGAUAUUGGGAAGAACACCAGUGGCGAAGGCGGCCAUCUGGCUCGGUACUGACGCUGAGGCGCGAAAGCGUGGGGAGCAAACAGGAUUAGAAACCCCAGUAGUCC
This 274-nucleotide ribosomal RNA is filed under the name uncultured bacterium. RNAcentral describes it as "partial 16S ribosomal RNA". It matches the Rfam family "Bacterial small subunit ribosomal RNA", at positions 523 to 796 of the family's 1533-position model. The record is from RNAcentral.